This is a long non-coding RNA of Thunnus maccoyii (southern bluefin tuna), 8157 nucleotides long. RefSeq lists it as uncharacterized. The record is from RefSeq and is a predicted model, not a curated record. The transcript has 3 exons. Lineage: Eukaryota; Metazoa; Chordata; Actinopteri; Scombriformes; Scombridae.
GAGAACCUAAAAGCAGCAAAUAUUUGGGCAUUAAAGCGAUUAUUCAAUUAUCAAGUUGCCAAUUAAGUUUAUGUUGAUUAAUAAUUGGUUAAUCGAUUGUUGCAACACUAGUUCUGUCUAUGUAAACUGGGCAGGUUUUUGUCCUGUCACCAGUGAAAUUGUGUUUUUGUCUGUGUCUGUAUAUGUGUGUAUACCUGACUGACAAUUCCCCCAUUGUCACUUCUGAAUAGUGAGUGUCUGGGAGAGUCUUGACCUUGUCAAGUGUACUUCACCCAUCACAUGAUUGAGCUGCUUUUGGCGAGAAGAGUGAGAGGUUUGGGGACUUGCAUACAAUGAAAUGGUCCCUGAGACAGCUACAGACUGGAGCUUGGGCACACACUGUAGUGUCCUUGACUGUCCUUGGUUCUUCAACUAAAAAACUAUUCAACAAAAGAUGAAAUAUCCACUUUGCACUGCUGCAGGUCACCUGUGUUACCACCCCAGGUCACCACUUACUGUACCUAUAAUGUUUUACUGAUUGUUGACUUUAUGUAGAGCAUUUAUACAUAUUAUCUUUGCUGCCUCAUUUAUCUUCUUCUCUUGUAUUAAACUGAUAUUACUUGUCUGUUGGUGCAUUUUCAUAUACUCAGUUCAGAACGCCUCCAAUAGAGCAAGCCAAAGGUCUCUGAGCAGCAGACUAAAUCAAUCUGAACGUCUGUGUGGUUGAAAUGUGGACAUUCAUUUACUUCUACAAGCCUGUGAAUUUUCUUUUUUGUCAAAGUCAGCAGCUUCUGGUACAAAACAACACCAGCUGUAUUGUUCAUUGACAACAUGUCAAAGAUCUGCUUCACAUGAAUAACUUCUGUGAUUCUUGACUUUAUCUUCAGAGAGGAAAGACUUUUCCUUUAACUAACGCAAACAUUCACUCUUUUUUCAGUAUUUAGUAGCCAUCAUUUGAGGCCCUUUUAAAGCAGUGUGUGCAUUUAAAAAAAAAAUACACACUCUCCCCACCACCCUCCAUUUGCUGCAUCUACCCCACAGCACUGGCUGCAAUCAGCAGUGUAAUUUUAGGGAGCUCGGGAAUGGACAUUAACCUGUCGCUUUUCUAACGACCUUAAAUUGUUCGUACUGCUAAUAAAGGCUCACUUGCUACCAAAUGAUGGGAGUGAAUGUCUGUGUGCUGCUGCCUCUGUUCAGAUCAUUUCAUUGUGUUUACCUCUAUGUAAAAAAAGCAUAUACUUUCCCAUGAUUCUCAUGAAAUCUGCUGCUUUCCAUCCAUUUGUGGUAACGCAUAAAAAAAAAAAAAGUUCUUAAGCUUGGAGAAGGAGGGAAAGUUGGUUUAUUGAUAAAAGCAAAAUGUGACAAAGUGCAAUGGAAACAGACUUGUCAAAGAAUUCAUGAUGUACAUGACUCAUGUGGAGAGGGACUUUUUAUUUUUUGACCUGUGGCAGGUCAAUGCCCAAGCACUGACACAGUAAAUGGAGUUGUUUUCUGCCCUUCCACUGGCCAACGAGUCACAAAAGCUGACCCACGUGUGUUUUUUGGUCUGUGGAGAAUCUGGCAUGCAGAGGGUGGAGUCAUGGCUGGAGUUGAGCAAGAGUAGAAAAAAAAAAACAAUCUUAAAGGGCAGACACACCUGCAGUACUUAAUCAAAAAGGCAGCAGGAAGAUCUCCGAAAUGAGGAAAAAAAAUGUCUUGUGCUGUUGGAUGUCAGAAUAGGAAUGCAAAAAAAGGUGACCUUCAUUUUUAUGGAAUGCCGUCGUCAAAAACGCCCUUUCAACCCAAACAUACGUUGUUUAUGGUUGCAAACCAUUAAACGGACAGACUGGACUGAUGAAAUCCCCCGGAAUUCUCGUCUCUGCAGUGCUCAUUUCAUAUCAGGCAAGGUUUUCUCCACUGUUUAUCACACACAAAGGCAAAUGUAGUUAAUAAUGAUAAAUUAGUAACAGCAGCAAUCACAAAGCUGACAAUCUCAGUAGACUAUUUCAUAAUGGUAAACACCAUUGACCAAAGUUAGCAACAUUAGUGUUUAAGCAGAAGUAGCAUGUAAACAAAACAAACAAACCAAAUUUCGUUUUAGACAAGCAUUUAAGAAAUUAAUGAAUGAAUGGGGCAGUAAUAUUAUAUCUGUGAUAUGUCAUUUACUUUACCCUAUAACUAAGCAUAAACUUAGCCAAGCCUUGGGACCACAUAUUUUCAUUGUGGUUACAAUGUAAUGACAGAGGAUUUCUUACAGGGGAGGUAUCCAUGGAUCCAGAAAGUCCAGACUUUGUUGCUUCAUUGUUCACUUAUUCAAGGCAGAGUCAGUGUAUGGAUGCUUCAAAAAAUUGUUCAGGUUCAAUAGGAAGAGAAAGAGGGCUGAAGCUAUCAGCAAGUCCUUUCUGGCUGACACAUCAAGCUCUCUCACUGCAGCUCAAGUGUUCUCCACUGUGGAGAAGACAACAGACUCUCAGCCUCCAGACUGUCAAGAGGAGCUUUGUACUAAUGAAGAAGAUGUCAUGAUCCCUCAAGCCAUCUAUAGUGAACUCAAAGUCCAGCAUGACCAGCUUCUGACAGAGUGUGUCAACAAAAUGCAACACACUCAAAGAGGAAAAUAAGCAGCUGAAGGAGGAACUUGGCAGUAAGAGGUUUUCUUUCAGCUUUUCUUUCAGUCAGAAACAAAACUCAACAAUCCUCUUCUUUGCUUGUCUGACCACUAUCAUUUUUGAGUGAUUGCUAUCAAAAUUGAAAGACAGUGUAUUGGUGAUGCAGGGAAGAUGACCUGGAAGAUCACGUGUUGAUUGUGUUAAUGAAACUGUGCUUGGGUGUAACUAAUAAGGACAUUGCCUUUAGGUUUAAUGUAACAGAUACUGUUAACUCAAAUAUUAUAAGAAACUUGCUCCCUAUAGUGACACAGACAUUAAAAACAAUCAUCAUAUGGCCAACCAGGAAGGCUAUUCUCAGGAAAAUGCCAAAAGGUUUUAAAAGGAAAUGUAAGCAAUGUCAGAGUAUCUUGACUGCAUUGAGAUUUUUUAUUAAUAAACCUGAUAAUCUUACUGCUUGAGCACAGACAUGGUCAAAUUAAAAGCAUCACCAUUCAGUUAAAUACUUUAGUUGGGGUUAAUUGGGGAGCAAUUUCAUUUUUGUCAUUAGGUUGGGGUGCCUGCGUUUCUGACAAAGGAAUAACAUCAAAAUCGGGAUUCUUUGAACUACUGGAGCCAAAAGAUGAUAUUUUGACUGAUCGAGGGUUUUUGAUUAGGGAGGACCUUGCAGCAUACAGAGCCACCCUUAAUAUUCCACACUUCACAAAAGGCAAGAAAAAGCUCUCUGAUCAUGAAGUUGACACAUCAAGAAGACUGUCAAAUGUGAGAAUACAUGUGGAAAGAGUCACUGGUCGAUGGAAGAAAUUAAAAAAUUUAACAUCUGUAAUUCCACUUACUCAGGUGGACAUCCUAGACAAUAUGGUAAUAGUGUGUGGGGCAUUAACAAAUCUUUGCCAAAGUGUUGUGCCUAAAAGACAGACACACUAACAAGGCAGCUAAUCAUUCACAAUGUGAAAAAGAAGCAAAGUGCUCACAGGUUGAACUGAGGUGGGUACUUAAUACAUGGUUCAUUUCCAGGGUUUCAUUGUGAGUUAACUGGGGGAUGGUUUCUCUUUAUGCAUGAGUUAUUUUAGCUGUUUUUGAUUGACUUUCAGUAUUGACACCAAUAAUGAAAUGAUGCUCUACAUUUUCUAUUUCAUAUUUCAUGAAUAUAUACUAAGAAUUGUUUUUUAUACCUGCACUUGUGUCUGGUCUCAUUACCACAGUCCUAGAAUUUUGUUGUACUGUAGUCAAUACAAGUACACUGUGUACUUAGUGGUGUGACAAAUGAACCUUGACUUAAACAGUAAGUAAGAAUAAAAGUCUGGAUAAAAUUCACAAGGCUGUAUUUAGAGUAUUGAAAGUAUUUCUUUUUUCUUUAACAAUGAAUUUAAUGACUUCAUAUGCAGUUUGUGAGGAGACAAAAUGAUGAAACAUUUAGAACAUUUGAACACAAAUGAAUGUUUCAGUUUUUUACUAACCAUUUUGUCAAUUGAACAAAACGUUUGGGGUGGAAGUACUCUAAAAUUAAUAUUAAGUAUAUUUGACAUUCUCUACUAUUAAGUAUUUUGUUUUUAAAAUUUGAAUCUAUUGACCAAAAUCGAUAGAUAUUUGGAGCAACACUGCUUAUAAACCCACAUACUGAAGAGCAAAUGUACACAGAUAAGAUGAACACUAAUCUAAAUUUGCAGAUUGUAAAGGAACAAUGUUCAUGAACUUGCUUUUAACUGUUUACAUUAUGUCCAUGUGGAGCUAUAUUGCCUUUUCGGUAUUGUUCUGUUUGCAAAACUACUUAGAUCGCAUUCUUUUGAUCUGAAUACGCGUGUAGUAGAAACAACUUUUGCAAUUGGCACAGUCAAUCAACUAACCAUAGUCUGACCUGUUGCAGUGUGGACAGUACAGUGCAUGUUAAUCUAGGAGGCUGGGGUCCAUGCUCUUGGUCAACAGCUCUGGCAGAAGAUGGUUCAGAAAAAGUUGUUCAGCCUUGGACAAGGCUCUCAGCAGCAAGUCUUUAUCUCUCACAGUACGAUUGAUGACCAUGACCUGUUUGGUCCAAACUACAAGUCACUGUAGUGGACAUCAUACGCAAAAAUCUGCAGCUGGACCUGGUAAUAAUAUGAGUGGUUCCUCUUCAGCUGCCCAUUUGUGUCAAGGCAGAACUGUGGGUCUUCAUUGCAUCUGGUCAGGCCCUCUCUGUAUUUAUAUGGGCACUUAAUCUCCAGUGUUCCGCCCUCACAACAUGAACAGCUCACAAUCCCAUCAGACGAUGCAGAGAUGUAAGUGGUCUUGGAAAACAACAAGACCAGAGAGUCUAGCAAAGAAAUUAGUGUGACCUUUUCUCAUUUCUUCAAUGUAGCAUUUUCUUACUGUAUUCUCUGUUUCUCUCCUCCAGAGUACUAUUGGUACUCAUAGAUCCUCUGUCUUAUUGUAAUGCAUGAUGUUUUUAAUGUCAUUGUCUGUAGGCUCUCCAGCUGUGUACAAAUGGUAUAAGUUUGUUCUUGUUAUUUUGCCUUCUGUGUGUGUGCCAACACCUGCAUUUUGAUUGCUCCCUGGUAUUAAGCUUGAGGGUUUCACAUUGAUCUGAAGUAAGCUUCUUUCUAAGGGUGUUUUAAAACCUAUAGAAAAUUUCAAGCAAACCAAAAUGUAUCAACAAAAGCUGUGUGGGAGCUGUCACUCAAUUCAUGGGUCAGAAAUCUUAUGGGGUUGGCAGGCAGAGAAAGGAGAGCAGAAUUGCCGUUUCUUCAUUAUUGUGGUCAUCGUUUGAGCCAUAUACCAAGCUUCAAUAUGUGAACAGAAUGGCACAUUUGAACACACUUCAAGGCAACAUCUAGAGAACAAUGUGUUGCUUCACAUCAUGUGAAGAAGGCUUGCUGCCUUCAGUUGGCUGAAGUGGAGAAGGGAGCACAUAUUGAGCACACACCACGACAUAAUGCAUAAUAAUAAUAACAUAAUGCACAGCGCAGCUUGCUACGGAAGCUGGUUUAUUUCAAAAAAGUGCAGUUGGAAGCAUUUCUUGGUCAGAUCACGUCGGAUCACGUUCAUACCACUAACGAACCAUACCAGAGUUAAUUUGUAACCGGACCAAGACCACCUGUUCAACAAGGUCUUGGUCUGGUUGUUUUGGUCCACACCAAGUUCGAUUGCUGUGUUCACACCUGGUCAAAGGAACCGCACCAAGGGGGUAAAUGCUCCAGGGUUUGAUUCAACGGAACUUAACAAGACAGGUGAGAAAAAGUCUCUGAAAAAAGUCUCUGAAACAUCUCAAGACACUUCUCCUUUAGUGUGUGUAGUGGUCAUUGGGCAAACUCCAAGAACAAGCACUGCAAAAAGCCAAAGUGAUGCUCUCAUCAUCAACUACUAUGACUCCAACUGCCGGACUGUUGUCAGCGCAGAUGCAAGCAGCUACAGCUUGGAACCAUAGUACUGCAGGAACACAUUGGUGGGUUGAGACCAGUCGCUUACUGCUCAUGCACUCUAACUGAGACGGCGAAACGAUUCUUCCAGAUAGAGUAGGAGUGCUUGGCAGCAGUGUGGUUUGCAUGUACAAGGAAUUGACAGUUACUAUCUCCAAACAGAUCACAAACCGCUAGUACUGCUGAUCAAUGCAUAUGAUCUGGACCAAGCACCGAUGCUGUGUCAGAGACUGUUAAUGUGCAUCAUGAGGUUCAGUGUGACAGCUGUGCAUGUUCUGGGGAAACAGCUUAUCAUGGCUGACACUACCCAGAAGUCCCUUGAGCCAGGAAGCACAGUCAGACACAGAUCAAGAUGUCAAGAUCGAAGCAGUGGUGACAAACAAACCAAUUUUAUCAGACAAGCUCAACGAUAUAAGAGAAGCUAUGCGGAAUCACUCAGACCUCCAGACGGUCAUCACCUGCCUCUGAAAUGGCUGGCCGUGUAGGGUGGCUGAGUUUCUGUCCUCCUAUGCAUUCUAUGCUUCCAGAAAUCACCUUUGUGAGUCAGAGGGUUCUGAGUCUCUCUUGUUCUGUACCAUGACCAAAUAGUCACCCCUGCACCGCUGAGAACCAAUGUCCUGAAACAAAUCCAUGAUGGCCACCAGGGGCUGACCAAGGGCCGCGAAAAGAGCCAAGAUGUCUGCCAGGCGUCAGCGGUGAAAUAAAAGUCCUUCUGCCAGAAGGACCCUGGCAGAGAAUUGCAGCAGACCUGUGUGAGCUGGAAGGAAAAAGUUAUCUGAUAUUUGUUAACUACUAUUCCCACUACAUCGAGAUGGCCCACCUACCUUCUACAUCAAGCCUUCAGGUCAUCAACUGGCUCAAAAGCAUAUUCUCUGGAUGGGGAAUACCACUGGAGCUUGUCAGCGACAAUGCCAUGCAGUUUGCAUCAGCUGAGUUCAGUGACUUCAGUAGUAUGGGUUUGCUCACAUGACCUCCAGUCCCCACUACCCCAGGCAAAUGGGGCAGCUGUAAGAGCAGUCCAAACUGCUUAAUGGAUUCUCAGACAGCCUGACCCAUACCUGGCCCUGAUGUGCUACUGGAUGACACCCAUCACUGUGAAAGGGGCUAGUCCGGCUCAAUUGAUGAUAGGACGGCAGAUCCAUACCAUUGUUCCCAUGUUGGAAGAGAAACUGCAAGCCACUCCUAUUAGUUGUGACCAGGUACAGAUAAAAGACUUCAGAGCCAAAAAGGUAUGAGUAUUUCUACAACCACUGACACUCUGUCCACCCACUUUCAGCACUGAAUCCAGGUCAGGCCGUCAGUCAUGCUGGAUGGGGAAAAAGGAAUGAGGUGGGUGGAAAAUCAGCAGAACCACAAUCCUACCUUAUCAGAAUACAUAAAGGCACAGUGAUGCGUUGCAACAGGAAACACCUGCAGGCUGUUCCAGAGAGCACUGAGCCUGCUGACCAACAGCACCAGUUGGAGGAAAGACUGUCACAGCCAGUCAACAGUCCCCGCCUUGCAACGGUCACCAGGGAGGUUGGAUCACCCCUGGGCUGGUCGCCCCCAGAGACAUGAUCCUAGCAAUCAAACCACAGCUAAAUAAUAGACCUUGGUGGUUAAUAUCAAAUGAAAACUGCUAUGUUCUUACAUCAAAGUUGUUACUCACUCCAUAAAUGUAUGUCUUUUUUGUAUCUGGAAGAGCACAAAGUUGUUAAUUCCAAAACUGUCCAUUUCUGUUUGUGGAAGGCUGCCCUUUUUAGUUAUGUUCAAUGUUUUCUUGACAUCAAGUUUAUGCAAGCAUAUUUGCACUGAUGUGUUGUGCUUGUGAUUGCAAUUGAGAUCUUUAUUGAUUCAUGUAUGACAAAAUACCACAGCCUGUGGUUCAUUGUGCAUCAUGUUUGAGUAGGAGAUUAAUCAAAGAAUCAGAUUGAUUGAAAGAUCUAAUCCAUCACUUUCUGACAGUUUGAUUGAUUCAACUUUAACCACCCAUUUAUUUGAUAUUAGUUCAGGGUGUCUAAAUAAAGCUGUUUCACCAGCUGAACAACUUUGUUCCCACCCUCUUUAUCUGUUUGACUGUCUUUAGUGACUUGUUUUGCCUCCAAAGAGGCCAAAACAAAUAAAAGGUUGAGCUUGUAUUGCUUUUGUUGAUCCCACAUACUGGUAGCCAAUCAAAAAUUAUGCUGGUGCAGAUAUUCAGUAUUUGUAAGAAAGAAUCUUGUCUA